Non-coding RNA from Caerostris extrusa, 101 nucleotides. Lineage: Eukaryota; Metazoa; Arthropoda; Arachnida; Araneae; Araneidae. The record is from the annotation of a GenBank genome assembly.
AACGGCCAUACCAUGCUGAAUAUACCGGUUCUCGUUAGAUCACCGAAGUCAAGCAUCAUUGGGUGCGGUCAGUACUUGGAUGGGUGAAAACUCGAUGGGAA